GUGGGGAAUAUUGCGCAAUGGGCGAAAGCCUGACGCAGCCACGCCGCGUGAGCGAUGAAGGCCUUCGGGUCGUAAAGCUCUGUGGGGAGAGACGAAGAAAGCCUGUGAAGAGCGGGCCUUGACGGUAUCUCCUUAGCAAGCACCGGCUAACUCCGUGCCAGCAGCCGCGGUAAUACGGAGGGUGCGAACGUUGCUCGGAAUCAUUGGGCGUAAAGCGCACGUAGGCGGCGGCGUAAGCGGGAUGUGAAAGCCCAGGGCUCAACCCUGGAAGUGCAUCCCGAACUGUGUCGCUUGAAUCUCGGAGGGGGACAGAGAAUUCCCGGUGUAGAGGUGAAAUUCGUAGAUAUCGGGAGGAAUACCAGUGGCGAAGGCGCUGUCCUGGACGAAGAUUGACGCUGAGGUGCGAAAGCGUGGGGAGCAAACAGGAUUAGAAACCCGAGUAGUCC
Molecule: ribosomal RNA, 446 nt
Filed under: uncultured bacterium
Lineage: Bacteria
Description: bacterial SSU rRNA
Rfam family: Bacterial small subunit ribosomal RNA
Source: RNAcentral